GACGAACGCUGGCGGCGUGCCUAAUACAUGCAAGUAGAACGCACAGUUUAUACCGUAGCUUGCUACACCAUAGACUGUGAGUUGCGAACGGGUGAGUAACGCGUAGGUAACCUGCCUGGUAGCGGGGGAUAACUAUUGGAAACGAUAGCUAAUACCGCAUAAUAUUAAUUAUUGCAUGAUAAUUAAUUGAAAGGUGCAAUUGCACCACUACCAGAUGGACCUGCGUUGUAUUAGCUAGUAGGUGAGGUAACGGCUCACCUAGGCGACGAUACAUAGCCGACCUGAGAGGGGGAUCGACCACACUGGGACUGAGACACGGCCCAGACUCCUACGGGAGGCAGCAGUAGGGAAUCUUCGGCAAUGGACGAAAGUCUGACCGAGCAACGCCGCGUGAGUGAAGAAGGUUUUCGGAUCGUAAAGCUCUGUUGUAAGAGAAGAACGGGUGUGAGAGUGGAAAGUUCACACUGUGACGGUAUCUUACCAGAAAGGGACGGCUAACUACGUG
RNAcentral lists this ribosomal RNA (505 nucleotides) under uncultured bacterium. Its description in RNAcentral is "partial 16S ribosomal RNA". It matches the Rfam family "Bacterial small subunit ribosomal RNA", at positions 28 to 507 of the family's 1533-position model. The record is from RNAcentral.